AAAUGGGAGGCUGCGUAUGAUAAACAUGCGAAGUCGACGGGACGCCCAGCUUGCUGGGCGGAUUAGCGGCGAACGGGUGAGCAACACGAGAGGAACCCGCCCCCAACACAGGGAGAAGCCCGGGAAACAAGGACCAACACCGGAGAGGAGCGCCCACCGCAAGGAGGGAGAAGGAAAGAACGAUCGGCUGCGGACGGACCCGCGGCCCACCAGCCCGAAGGCGAGGAAAGGGCUCACCAAGGCGACGACGGGAAGCCGGCCUGAGAGGGCGACCGGCCACACCGGGACCGAGACACGGCCCAGACGCCUACGGGAGGCAGCAGAGGGGAAUAUAGCACAACGGGCGAAAGCCAGAAGCAGCGACGCCGCGAGAGGGACGACGGCCAACGGGUUGCAAACCACAUACAGCAGGGAAGAAGCGAAAGAGACGGUACCAGCAGAAGAAGCACCGGCUAACUACGUGCCAGCAGCCGCGGUAAUACGUAGGGAGCGAGCGUUAUCCGGAAUUAUGGGGCGGAAAGAGCGCGUAGGCGGGAAGACGCGUCGGACGAGAAAGCCCGGGGCUUAACCCCGGAUCGGCGGGGGGCACGGGCAGACUAGAGGGCAGGAGGGGAGACGGGAAUUCCUGGUGUAGCGGAGGAAGGCGCAGAAAUCAGGAGGAACACCGAUGGCGAAGGCAGGGCUCUGGGCUGUAACUGACGCUGAGGAGCGAAAGCAUGGGGAGCGAACAGGAUUAGAUACCCUGGUAGUCCAUGCCGUAAACGUUGGGCACUAGGUGUGGGGACCAUUCCACGGUUUCCGCGCCGCAGCUAACGCAUUAAGUGCCCCGCCUGGGGAGUACGGCCGCAAGGCUAAAACUCAAAGGAAUUGACGGGGGCCCGCACAAGCGGCGGAGCAUGCGGAUUAAUUCGAUGCAACGCGAAGAACCUUACCAAGGCUUGACAUGUUCUCGAUCGCCGUAAAGAUACGGUUUCCCCUUUGGGGCGGGUUCCCGGGUGGUGCAUGGUUGCCGUCCGCUCUUGUCUGGGAUUGUUGGGUAAGUCCCUCAAUGAGCGCAACCCUCGUU
RNAcentral lists this ribosomal RNA (1066 nucleotides) under bacterium. RNAcentral describes it as "bacterial SSU rRNA". It matches the Rfam family "Bacterial small subunit ribosomal RNA", at positions 31 to 1109 of the family's 1533-position model. The record is from RNAcentral.